AAGGGCUUAGCUUAAUUAAAGCAAUUGGUUUGCAUUCAAUUGAUGUAGGAUAGAGUCU
Molecule: transfer RNA, 58 nt
Filed under: Camelus dromedarius (Arabian camel)
Lineage: Eukaryota; Metazoa; Chordata; Mammalia; Artiodactyla; Camelidae
Description: partial tRNA-Ala
Source: RNAcentral